Molecule: ribosomal RNA, 257 nt
Filed under: uncultured bacterium
Lineage: Bacteria
Description: partial 16S ribosomal RNA
Rfam family: Bacterial small subunit ribosomal RNA
Source: RNAcentral
UACAGAGGCCCCAAGCGUUACUGAGAAUCACUGGGUUUAAAGGGUGCGUAGGUGGCGCGUUAAGUCCGUUGUGAAAUCCCUGGGCUCAACCCAGGAAUUGCUUCGGAUACUGGCGUGCUUGAGGCUAGUAGGGGUCACUGGAACUGACGGUGGAGCGGUGAAAUGCGUAGAUAUCGUCAGGAACGCCGAUGGUGAAGACAGGUGACUGGGCUAGUUCUGACACUGAGGCACGAAAGCGUGGGGAGCGAACGGGAGUU